RNAcentral lists this non-coding RNA (30 nucleotides) under Mus musculus (house mouse). The record is from RNAcentral. Lineage: Eukaryota; Metazoa; Chordata; Mammalia; Rodentia; Muridae.
UAAAACAAGUACUUCUAAGUACUAGACAGC